UUGCUGGUUUGCACCCUGGCCCGGUACUGGCAGGCACUGGCUUGGGGUGGGGGGCGGGAGGGUUGGGCAAGGGGAGACCGAGGAAAAGGCAACCGCUCCAGAAAAAUGACAUCAGUCAUGGCCAGGAGGAAGACUACACAGAGAUGUUUAGAAGACUGAACAGCGACUUGUAAAGAUACUGAAGGGGACGAGGGCUUCGGAGGGCUGGGACCAGCGACUGGCAGGACAGCUGCUCCCUAAGCCUGGUAGAAGCUUCACCAUUGUCAUUCUUGUCACCCUCGGCAGGAAGCUUAUUGUCAUCCUGUUACUGAAGCCUAGCGUUUCUAACCCAGCGAUGUCUCUUAAAUCAGGUACCAAAAACAUGAACUUGGUUUCAAUUCUCCCCCCAUUCUCAAGCCCAGGGGCAUUACUUGAUAUUCUUCCUGGAGGGCAGCAACGCAGCGCACCACGUUGGAGAGUUACAUCCCCAGAGAAAGGCACAGACAGAUAUUUGGUUACAACUGUUACCUCCCAAGUCAAUAGUUGUUAUUUGUCUUUUGCUCUGAGGCUUAAUGACAAUUAGAUUGAACAAAGCAGCCACUGGAGGACACUGCACCCGCUAAAGCUGCUGCCUGAUGCAAAAGCACACCAUCCGAAGGCUAGCUAGAGCCAUUCUCUAUGACACUGUAAGGAUGAACACAGGACACUGUAUCUGUCAGAAGCCUGCAGAACUUCACUGCACAAAGGAUGAUCCUUCACGUAUGCAAAUCUGAACAGAUCAUUUAGGAGGCUCGAGGAUCCCAGGAUGGGAUGGAGUAUGGGACAGAAGAACCUAACAGCAUUACAUGUGUAUGCAACAACAUCACUAAAGGGGCAGUUGGGGAGUGGGGGUAGGGAUGGCGAUGGGGAAGGUGUUGCCAAUACCCACAUCAAGUACUUCUCCUGUGACUGUGGGCACCACGGACAUACACGGUGUCUUUUGAGCAACACCUGUAUUGAA
This is a long non-coding RNA of Mustela erminea (ermine), 979 nucleotides long. RefSeq lists it as uncharacterized. NCBI's taxonomy places the organism in Eukaryota, Metazoa, Chordata, Mammalia, Carnivora, Mustelidae. The record is from RefSeq and is a predicted model, not a curated record. The transcript has 4 exons.